GUAGAAGUAACGUCGUUGUAAACAUUCCCGAGAAUAUCUUCGCCGUUUAUAUCAAAUAGAAUGUCAUUUGCGUAUUAAUUUCUCAUCGGUAGAGACGUACAUACAUAUGUAUGCGUAUAACUUAAGAAAAAUCUUUUAAAACGUGAUUUGUCUUGUUCGAUUUUAAUUUCUAUUGUGAGUUAAAAAAGUUUUAUCAAAAAAAAAAAAAAGAGAAAGAAAAAGAGAAGGAGAGAGAGAGAGAGAGAGAGAGGCAGAGAGAAAGGGGGAAAAAAAAGAAAAAAUUCAACGUUAGAACGAUAUCAUAUAAUUGUGAAAGAUCCUGCGGACUGUAGUGCUAUCAUCUCUACUACAUGGAGAAAGAGCAAAAGACUAACAUCUGCCUCAAGAGUUCGAGGUCGAGUGGCCGGAACAGAAUCACGGGAAUUCAAGAUGCUUAAAGCGUUUCAACGACUCAUCAUCACAAAUUCUUAGAGCCCACGUUGCAGCUGGCUUGGAUCGACCGAUAGAAAUCCACGAAAGCUCGCCGGUACCUUUGGUAAAGGCGGCGAUCAUCUCGUGGCAAAAGGGAAGCAAUCGCGAUUCCUCGCGAGUACGGUGUCGGUGUCGUCCAAUAAAACUGCCCCGUAACGUGUAUACCGUAUAGCUGUUAGCCCUAAGGCUCACCCUUUCUUGUGGAAGCUCUCGUGGCAGUAACCGGCAACAACUUAGACGAGGAGACGAGGAGUAUGUAAAAGUAUAUACAUACAUACGUGUACACGAGGUGCAUCCGUAAGGAUGCUUACCUGUAAACGACUAUUUUGCAUACAGUAACGUGGCUGCAUUCAGAACGUAGCAGCCGCCACCGCCUCCUUUUGCCUACCCGUCGGCUUACUUUCGAUUUUCUUUGCGAGUACGCGAGGAUAGCCGAGAGUACGCCAUGUGCAUACCGAUUCAACGCUGCACCUACCGUCACCUUGUUGCCGUUGCCGUUGCAACUUUUGCUGUUGUUGCUGUUCGCGACGAUGCGUACGCGCUGACAAUGCCUUAUAGCUCUAAUGGAACCACGUCGUUGUCGUCUCUGUGGGAAUGACGUUCGAACGCUGCCGUUCUGGCUUCUAUUCCUUCUGGCAACCAAUGUCCGAGGGGGGGAGAAGGAAGAGGAGAAUGAAGAGGAGGACAAGCGUUGAAUUAUUUCGCGUGCGUUUUAUUGACGUGCUAAAGCAAAUACUUACCUCCCACUAUUUGAAAAUUCGAUGACACUAGAAGAUAAAAACGAAGAUAUUUAGAGAAAUACAUUACUAAAUUGUGAAUAAUUUAAUAUCGUUAUUGCGUUUUUAUCAUGUUUCGAAAAUUGAGAAAGUUUUCAAAUGAAAAGUUUAAAGAAGAGAAAGGUUGAGUGGAGGGGAUUCUGUCGUCGACCGAUAUUAUCGUAUUUACUUUGUCCGAAUAAAAAGGUUAAAAAAAAGAAAGAAAGAGAGAGAAAGAGAGAGAGAGAGAGAGAGAGAGAGAGAAAGAAAUAAUGAGUGAAAGAGAUGGAGAGAAAGAGAGUGAAAGAAAGGAGCGAGAAUUACACCUUGGCACGCAAGAAAGGUAGAAAGGGGUUCAGCGUGUGCGCACGCACGUAAGCAAUGUGCCUGCUAUCCGAGCAAAAACGAGACAGAAUCUUCUCUAGCAUCGCUUGGUUGCCCUCUUUUCCUUCUUCUCUUUUCCGCGUCCACUCUAGAAUCUGAACACGGUCACCCAAGUCGUCGAAUAACUCUAUUCGUUGCACUUAGCACGCUCGUGUUCGCUAUCGUCGCUAACUUUCCUAAUAUCGAAGUGGAUAAUUAAUUACAAGCGCCGAGUUAGAGUUAGAGUUAGAAUUAGAUUUACACAGAGAAAGAGAGAGAGAGAGAGAGAGAGAGAGAGAGAAGAAAGAGAGAAAGAUAAAGAGAGAAAGCAACGCUCGAGCUAAUCGCAACGCAUCUUCCGACAUUCACGAGCUCGUUUUUAUAUCGCGAUCAUCGGUGCGUGGGCGUGCUACCGCCGACUAUUAAUUCGCCUUAUUUCGUGAAAUCACGAUCGUUCUACUAAAACGAUUUCUUUAGCAAGCUAGUAGAGGUCAUUAUCGUGUCCGUUAAUUAAUAUUUCUUCUUGAGGGAAUGGUAGUCAGAAUACUUUCUAGAUUCUUCGUGUAUUCAUACAUACAUACAUACAUACAUACAUACAUACAUACAUACAUACAUACAUACAUACAUACAUACAUACAUACAUACAUACAUACAUACAUACAUACAUACAUACAUACAUACAUACAUAUUUACUAUUAAUCUUAUUAAAUAAAAGAAUAGACCAGAACCUGGUAGUUAUCUGUUGUAACCUUAUUUUCAUUUUCUCUUUCUCAGAAGAUGAGAUUAAAGAAGAGUUUUGAGAGAGAGAGAGAGAGAGAGAGAGAGAGAGAGAGAAAUAAAUAAAUAAAAACAAAAGAUCGUUGGAUCUUUCGCGGUUCAAUGCACGUAACUAGAUUUUGCGAUCGAUCCCGAUCUUCCGGGUGUCCUUUUCUACUUUCAAACGAACUCGAAUGAACGCGGACUCCUGUAUCGCGUAAUUUUAGCUCGGGACAGAUCAGGUGUUACGUUGCCUCGGGAGCACAUUAAUCAUUCAACGUGCACCAACGAUACAAACCACGUUGGGAGAUGGAGAGAAAGAAGAAGAGGCAAAAUGUGUUGGUGUUGGAGGAGGAAAAGGAAAAAGAAGAAGAGGAGAAGAAGAAGGUGGAAAAGGAGGCCCGCGAGACUGCUGAGCACCAAGAAGGCAUCAUAGUUUCUAUUUCUUGGUAUUGCACUACGACCGGACGAGUUCAUCGUACCGACCGCAACCCUGAACUUCACGGCAGUGCGUUAAAGUGAUAUAGGGCCAAGAAGCCAGUCGACGUUCAUGUGCUUUUGUAUAUGUUUGUGCGUGAGUAAGUACGUGUUUGCGUGUAUAUGCGUGCAAGGGCGCGCGCGCGCGCGCGCGCGUUGCGGCCGCUGGCAUUAAAUUCGCUAACGAACGUUACGUGGUUUAUAAUCGCUUAGCUGGCCGAACCGUAACGAUUACACGAAGAAUUAUAGUCGUCCACUGUCGCGGAGAAUUCUACGCGUUUUCAUCAGGGACCGUCUUCUCUCUUUUAACUCGAAAAGAUUAACAGUCCGAUCCCUUUAGACUCGGAACGCCUUCUCGACGCCUUCGGAGCCGCUCCUUCGAUGAUAAUCGCGAUAUCGUUAACGAUGAAAAUAAAUAAUAAAAUAAAUCACGUGGCUUCUGUUAUACCUUUUACGUUUUUUUUCUUUCCUUUACGAAAAAAAAAAAAAAAAAAAAUACGAUCGAAAAACGUUUUCGUUCUUUCUUUUUUCUCUCUUUUUUAUUUUUUUUCUUUUUUUUUUUUUUUUUUUUUUUCUUUCUUUACCCUUUUAUAACCCAAUUUUAUUUCGCUCCCUAAAAAUAAAAAGAUUUCUAUAAUGCGAAAUUCGCAAUAUAA
This is a long non-coding RNA of Vespa mandarinia (Asian giant hornet), 3478 nucleotides long. The record is from RefSeq and is a predicted model, not a curated record. NCBI's taxonomy places the organism in Eukaryota, Metazoa, Arthropoda, Insecta, Hymenoptera, Vespidae.